GAUGAACGCUGGCGGCGUGCUUAACACAUGCAAGUCGAACGAAGCACUUUAGUUGAUCCCUUCGGGGUGAUUCUAAAGUGACUUAGUGGCGGACGGGUGAGUAACGCGUGGGUAACCUGCCUUGUACAGGGGGAUAACAGUUAGAAAUGACUGCUAAUACCGCAUAACCCGCUAAGGUCGCAUGACCUAGACGGAAAAGAUUUAUCGGUACAAGAUGGACCCGCGUCUGAUUAGCUAGUUGGUGAGGUAACGGCUCACCAAGGCGACGAUCAGUAGCCGGCCUGAGAGGGUGACCGGCCACAUUGGGACUGAGACACGGCCCAAACUCCUACGGGAGGCAGCAGUGGGGAAUAUUGGGCAAUGGGGGAAACCCUGACCCAGCAACGCCGCGUGAAGGAAGAAGGCCUUC
This 409-nucleotide ribosomal RNA is filed under the name uncultured bacterium. RNAcentral's name for it is "bacterial SSU rRNA". It matches the Rfam family "Bacterial small subunit ribosomal RNA", at positions 28 to 419 of the family's 1533-position model. The record is from RNAcentral.